Molecule: non-coding RNA, 237 nt
Organism: Vicia faba (fava bean)
Lineage: Eukaryota; Viridiplantae; Streptophyta; Magnoliopsida; Fabales; Fabaceae
Source: the annotation of a GenBank genome assembly
AUGGCAGAAGCUCCAUCCACAAACACUAAUCUCAUAUUAUCUGGAAAAGUAGCCAUAGUAACAGGAGGUGCUAGUGGUAUCAGCGAAACCACAGUGUGUGUCUUUGCUAAUGAAGGCACGCACGUGGUUGUGAUUGCAGAUAUCCAAGACGAGCUUGGUGAACAAGUAGCUGCAUCGAUUGGCAAGCAAAGGUGCAUCUAUGUUUAUUGUGACUUGACAAAUGGAGAUCAAGUUUGA